Molecule: ribosomal RNA, 543 nt
Filed under: Pyronotanthias lori (Lori's anthias)
Lineage: Eukaryota; Metazoa; Chordata; Actinopteri; Perciformes; Anthiadidae
Description: partial 16S ribosomal RNA
Rfam family: Bacterial large subunit ribosomal RNA
Source: RNAcentral
UGGGAGGUCCCGCCUGCCCUGUGACUAGUUUAACGGCCGCGGUAUUUUGACCGUGCGAAGGUAGCGUAAUCACUUGUCUUUUAAAUGGAGACCUGUAUGAAUGGCACAACGAGGGCUUUACUGUCUCCUUUCUCAGGUCAAUGAAAUUGAUCUCCCCGUGCAGAAGCGGGGAUAUAAACAUAAGACGAGAAGACCCUAUGGAGCUUUAGACUCAAAGGUAGACCCUAUUUAAUAACCCUAUAAAGGACUUUAAUUUUAGAGACCCUGCCCUGCGUCUUUGGUUGGGGCGACCGCGGAGAAAAACUAAACCUCCGUGUGGAGUGGGAGUACUCUAUCUCCUCCUAAAGCUAAGAACGACAACUCUAAGCAACAAAACUUUUGACCUAUAUAGAUCCGGCAAAGCCGAUCAACGAACCGAGUUACCCUAGGGAUAACAGCGCAAUCCCUUUUUAGAGUCCCUAUCGACAAGGGGGUUUACGACCUCGAUGUUGGAUCAGGACAUCCCGAUGGUGCAGCCGCUAUCAAUGGUUCGUUUGUUCAACG